Molecule: ribosomal RNA, 253 nt
Filed under: uncultured bacterium
Lineage: Bacteria
Description: partial 16S ribosomal RNA
Rfam family: Bacterial small subunit ribosomal RNA
Source: RNAcentral
GACGUAGGAGGCGAGCGUUGUCCGGAUUCAUUGGGCGUAAAGAGCACGCAGGCGGUUCGUCGCGUCGGCUGUGAAAUCCCGAGGCUCAACCUCGGGUCUGCAGUCGAUACGGGCGGACUGGAGUUCGGCAGGGGAGACUGGAAUUCCUGGUGUAGCGGUGAAAUGCGCAGAUAUCAGGAGGAACACCGGUGGCGAAGGCGGGUCUCUGGGCCGAUACUGACGCUGAGGAGCGAAAGCGUGGGGAGCGAACAGG